GAUUGAUCCUGCCGGACCUGACUGCUAUCGGAUUGGUACUAAGCCAUGCGAGUCGUUGUAGCAAUACAAGGCGGACUGCUCAGUAACACGUAGUUAACUUAACCUAUGGAUGGGCAUAACCUCGGGAAACUGAGAAUAAUACCCAAUGGACCACAGUGCCUGGAAUGGCCUGUGGUUAAACUGAUUUAUCGCCGUAGGAUAGGACUGCGGCCUAUCAGCUUGUUGGUGAGGUAAUGGCCCACCAAGGCUAUAACAGGUACGGGCUCUGAGAGGAGGGGCCCGGAGAUGGGUACUGAGACACGGACCCAGGCCCUAUGGGGCGCAGCAGGCGAGAAACCUUUGCAAUGUGCGAAAGCACGACAAGGUUAAUCCGAGUGUCUCCUGCUAAAGGAGUCUUUUGUCAGUUGUAGAAUCACUGGUGAAUAAGGGGUGGGCAAGUUCUGGUGUCAGCCGCCGCGGUAAAACCAGCNACUCGAGUGGUCAGGAGGUUUAUUGGGCCUAAAGCAUCCGUAGCCGGUUGCAUAAGUUUUCGGUUAAAUCUAUGCGCUUAACGUAUA
RNAcentral lists this ribosomal RNA (557 nucleotides) under uncultured archaeon. RNAcentral describes it as "bacterial SSU rRNA". It matches the Rfam family "Archaeal small subunit ribosomal RNA", at positions 6 to 568 of the family's 1478-position model. The record is from RNAcentral.